Molecule: long non-coding RNA, 1405 nt
Filed under: Crocodylus porosus (Australian saltwater crocodile)
Lineage: Eukaryota; Metazoa; Chordata; Crocodylia; Crocodylidae
Description: lncRNA (ENSCPRG00005017033.1)
Source: RNAcentral
GCUCCCCCCCUUCGGGGGACUCCCGGCUCCGACGCGCUGGGGAUUCCCCUUGCGCAGCGAUCGGAACGUUCGGGAUUGUUCCCGGUGACGUCACGGCAGAAGGGCUUCCCGCUGGCUCAGGCUGCGCCAGGCCCCGCCCCUUUAUCGUUGUGUCGGGCGGGGGGAGGGGGAGUCCCGCGGCGCCGGGCUCGGCGGCUCUCGCGAGGUUUGGGCGCAGAGCAUUGCGGCUCGGAGAGGCGCCAUUUUGGGAGCGAGGCGAGUUGUACGUCGGGGCCCGGCGCGCGGGGAGCGGCUGAGCGGCGCGUUCCCACCCAGCAGCCUCCGCGCUCCGCCCGCCAGGCCGUUCGGUCCCGAGGAGACUCGGCCCUUUCGCUGCGUUGUGGGGGCUGUGGCUGGCCACCUGCGUCCGCAGGGAUCCGCGGCGGGGCCCGGGGCCGGGACUCGUUGCUGAGAAGGCGCCGGAGACCGAAGGAAGGAACCGCGCGGCUGUGAAGUCUUGAGCUUUCUGUCGCCUCCUCCUCCUCCUCCCCUGCCCGGCUUUGUUGGCACGGAGUGAACACGGGCUGGAAGUUUCGCGCUCUGCCUCCUUCUGCUGGGAACCUGCGCCGCUCUUUCCUUCCCUUCUGUUGCUGUUAGUUCAUCUUCUUUACCCCAGACAGCGGGUUUGAUUCCUUUGCUAACGGCUCCAGUCCUGCUGAGGAGUUUUAUGGCAGAUAUUUUUACCUUUCUUUUUAAGUGUUUUGACAUAGCCAAUUCUGUUCUGCAAUGAACUGUCUCCUCUAAAUGAAGAGCGUAAUAGGACUUUAUUUCCCCUUUUUUCUUUUGUAUCUUAUUUGAAUCCUCUUUUUAAUUUUUUUUGAAAAAUGUUGCUGCCUGUAAGCAGUAUGGUGGUAUCCAGAUAGCUGUUGUUUGCAGAUGUCUUUAGAACCCGAAGCUGAGAAAUGCCCUUCAGUUCAGAUGUGAAAUUUGGAUUUUCAGUUUUACUCUUGGUCUCAUAAGAGGUUUAUUUAUUUCAUCCUGAGCUGAUGCUCAUUAUAGCAAGAUGUAUGUGGAAUAGAUGAAAAGAGGCUGUAAAAGAGAAAAAACAGCUUCUUAAAUCAACAGACUUGGCAAAUUUUGGAAAUAGCUUUGUGUGGGGUCUAAAAAAAAAAAAAAAAGAAGGAUGGGUAGCUGAUUUCUAAGAGGUCAACUAUAUGUCAAAUAGCCACGGAUGUAGAAUCCUCAAAGACUCAGGAUAGUAUUUCAAAGAAAACAAACUGGAAAAUAUAAAUCAGACGGAGCGAACACCUUGUGCAGUCCUUUUGGAUUUGGUAAGUAUGCCACAUGAAUUGAUAUGCAUUUUAUUAAGCAUCCUGUUGGUAAAAUGCCACAAAUAACAGCUGGCAUACAGCAAAUGUGCCUUUUU